This 493-nucleotide ribosomal RNA is filed under the name uncultured bacterium. RNAcentral describes it as "bacterial SSU rRNA". It matches the Rfam family "Bacterial small subunit ribosomal RNA", at positions 28 to 507 of the family's 1533-position model. The record is from RNAcentral.
GACGAACGCUGGCGGCGUGGAUUAGGCAUGCAAGUCGGACGGUAGGGCUUUAUCGUAAGAUAGAGUUUGAGAGUGGCGAACGGGUGAGUAACACGUAGGAAUCUACCCUUAAGACGGGGACAACCCAGGGAAACUUGGGCUAAUACCGGAUGUGAGCAACUUUUAGUUGUUUGGAAAGGUGGCGUAAGCUGUCGCUUGGGGAUGAGCCUGCGUCCUAUUAGUUAGUUGGUGAGGUAACGGCUCACCUAGGCAAUGAUAGGUAGGCGGCCUUAACGGGUGGUCGCCCACACUGGGAUUGAGAUACGGCCCAGACUCCUACGGGAGGCAGCAGUCGAGAAUAGUCUACAAUGGUCGGAAGACUGAUAGUGCGACGCCGCGUGAACGAUGAAUCCCUUCGGGGUGUAAAGUUCUUUUAUAUGUGAGCAGUGCUUCUUAUAUUAACAGUAUGGGGAGAGAGAUAUUAGCAUAUGAAUAAGCAACGGCUAACUCCGUG